GUCCCUGUAGCGCAAUGGGUAGCGAGUUGGAUUUCUAAUCCAAAAGUCGUGGGUUGGAAUCGCACCUGGGAUG
Trichonephila inaurata madagascariensis is the source of this 73-nucleotide non-coding RNA. The record is from the annotation of a GenBank genome assembly. NCBI's taxonomy places the organism in Eukaryota, Metazoa, Arthropoda, Arachnida, Araneae, Nephilidae.